AAUAGCUGCGAUUGUGCUUAUCUCCAUCUCAUUACUCAUCAUCAUCAUUCUUAUUAUUGUAUAUUGCGGGGAAAGAAGGCGGUCUUAUUUUGGAAAACAUAGAGUAUCCAGACGUGGAAAACAAAAUCCAACAUUUGAAAGUACGAAGAGUCAACAGAAAUGCCAGGUGGAUCCAGCAGAAAGCCUCAGACACAAUAAGCAGUUGCGUAACAAGCAAAAGAAUGGCGGUCUGAAUACAGCUAUAAUACUAAUCUACAAGCGAUAGAAAUUUCAAACAUAACCUUUUUUUAUAAAUUUACUCCAACUAUAAUAUGAAUUAUGACAACUAAUUUAUUUCUAGUGGAAAUUAAGAAAUUAUUUCAUAUAUCGUAAUAGCAUAUUCUCCAACAUGAAUGAACCUGCCAAAUUAUAGAAUAUACAGUAACAAAGUCAAUAACAUUGAAUAGAAAUAUAGCUAAUCCCAAAUGGAAAUUUUACUUGUCCGUGUUUUCAAAAUGCACAUGAUAAAACGAUUCUUUGUUCACAUCUUCCACUAUUCAAUAAUUAUGAUAAAUGUCCAAGCCAUUUUGCUGUGUUUUUUAUUAAAAAAUAAUCAAUUUUGUAGAAUAUUCCUGCAAUUAAACUACAUCUACAUA
Molecule: non-coding RNA, 635 nt
Organism: Styela clava
Lineage: Eukaryota; Metazoa; Chordata; Ascidiacea; Stolidobranchia; Styelidae
Source: RefSeq, a predicted model, not a curated record